UUAUUAUAUACAUGACAAAAUUACUGCAAUUUGAUUGGUUAAGAGGAGUGCAAUUAUUUCAUUAAUUGCACUCUCCAGGAGUGCAAUUAAUGAUUUUCGUGAUGGCUGGGGGGAGCGGGAAAUCAAAACAACAAAAUUCAAUAUGGCGGCAAAAUUUAGAUAAGUAUUUCUAACAAAUGUGGACGAAUUUAACUGAAUUUUGGCAAAAGAAUGAGUUUAAGAAACAUUGUAUGGCAAAAAGAGCCUGUGAAAAAUACCUGGAAAGAGUCUUAAGAAAUAAUCUUGGCGGGAUGCAGCGAAACGUGAC
Molecule: long non-coding RNA, 307 nt
Filed under: Paramuricea clavata
Lineage: Eukaryota; Metazoa; Cnidaria; Anthozoa; Malacalcyonacea; Plexauridae
Source: RNAcentral